UGGGGAAUUUUGGACAAUGGACGCAAGUCUGAUCCAGCCAUGCCGCGUGCGGGAAGAAGGCCUUCGGGUUGUAAACCGCUUUUGUCAGGGAAGAAACGAGUUUCUCUAAUACAGAGACUUAAUGACGGUACCUGAAGAAUAAGCACCGGCUAACUACGUGCCAGCAGCCGCGGUAAUACGUAGGGUGCAAGCGUUAAUCGGAAUUACUGGGCGUAAAGCGUGCGCAGGCGGUUAUAUAAGACAGAUGUGAAAUCCCCGGGCUCAACCUGGGAACUGCGCUUGUGACUGCUAAGCUAGAGUACGGCAGAGGGGGGUGGAAUUCCGCGUGUAGCAGUGAAAUGCGUAGAUAUGCGGAGGAACACCGAUGGCGAAGGCAAUCCCCUGGACCUGUACUGACGCUCAUGCACGAAAGCGUGGGGAGCAAACA
Molecule: ribosomal RNA, 427 nt
Filed under: uncultured bacterium
Lineage: Bacteria
Description: bacterial SSU rRNA
Rfam family: Bacterial small subunit ribosomal RNA
Source: RNAcentral